RNAcentral lists this microRNA precursor (68 nucleotides) under Nematostella vectensis (starlet sea anemone). Its description in RNAcentral is "microRNA nve-mir-9448 precursor". Lineage: Eukaryota; Metazoa; Cnidaria; Anthozoa; Actiniaria; Edwardsiidae. The record is from miRBase by way of RNAcentral.
AUUGUCUCCUCCGCAGCCGUCCCUAGUGUCAGUCUCAAACACUAAGGACGGCUGCGCAGGAGACUAAA